This 2775-nucleotide long non-coding RNA is filed under the name Sus scrofa (pig). Its description in RNAcentral is "lncRNA (ENSSSCG00000042972.1)". The record is from RNAcentral. Lineage: Eukaryota; Metazoa; Chordata; Mammalia; Artiodactyla; Suidae.
AAAAAUCUACACAACAAACUUUACUAACUAGUCUUUGUCUACCAUUAAUUUUCCCAUGUAUUUGCCUUCCCACAAUUCGCCACCCAUAGAAACUUAAGGUCCUUAGAGUUCCCGUCGUGGCUCAGUGGUUAACGAAUCUGACUAGGAACCAGGAGGUUGCAGGUACAAUCCCUGGCCUCGCUCAGUGGGUUAAGGAUCUGGCGUUGCUGUGAGCUGUGGUGUAGGUCUCAGACGUGGCUCGGAUCCUGUGUUGCUGGGUGGAAUUGGAGCUGCAGCCGCUGGCCUAUGCCAGAGCCACAGCACAUGGGAAUCUGAGCUGCACCUGGAACCUAUACCAUAGCUCACGGCAAUGCCGGAUCCUUAACUCAUUGAGCAAGGCCAGGGAUUGAACCUGUAUCCUUAUGGAUGCUAGUUAGAUUCGUUAACUGCUGAGCCAUGAUGGGAACCCCUAAUGAGAAUAUUAAAAAGACCCACACUUUCUACCAUGCUCUCCAAAAAAUUUUAGGUGAAUUGAAAGUUAAACACUUAAAAAUCAAAACAAAUACACUCCCAUGUAUAUGAACAGACAAGCACUAGGGGAAAUCACUUUUUGAUUGUUGAUGGAAUAGAAAUGAAAAAAAAAAGAUGGACAGGUUCAUUACUUAGAUGGAAUGCAUAUCAAUCACCAAAGCUGAGAUUUAAAAAUUCAGAAGAAUGGAGAAAAUGUUUGCACAUCAACACAAAAGUUUAAUAACUGAAAAGUAUAAAGAGCUCAUAUAAAUGGGCAAAAAUACCAACUCUCCAUUAAACAAAUGAUUAAAAGACAGUUUCUAGAAGAAGAAACAUGACCUUAAAUCAUGAUUUUCAAAAUAUUCACUCAACUUUGUUGGUAAAAUAACUGCAAAUUGAACCUACUGUGAAGUUUCAUUUUGUCCUUAAAAAUAGAAUUAGAAGAACUUUUUAAAAGCGAUAAAACCCAAAGCCUGCAAGACUUCAGGAAAGUAGAUCUCAUGCAUUAAUGAUAGCAAUAUAAAUGGAGCCAGUCAUUUUGAAACACAAAAUGAUACUUUAUUGAAAGAAUCAUAAAUAUGCCUAACACCUAAGUAACAGAAUUUAUCCUGAGGAAAUCAGGUUUAAUAAGAAAAAAAGUGUACAUAUACAAUAUUUAUUUAUUGAUAGUAAAACAUUAGAAGAAAGCUAAGAUCCCAACAAUGCCAAAAUAUAGAAGCUAACUGUAGUAUAUCAAAAUGAUCUACUCAAGUAAUAUACUAAAAAUGCGAAGAUGAUGCAGGAAGUAGAAGACGUUUGGUUAAAUCAUGUGACCUAAAAGGAAGAACAGUGAAUUGUGUGUAUGCACCCAUUAUAACUGUCAAAGAACCGUGAAUAGGUGAAUACGUAAAGAUAAAGAAGGCAACAGGACAGGUGGAAGAUGUUUCCAGCUGGGUUAAGAUCAACAGACUUGGAGUGAAUGAUUCUGUAAGGUUGUUACAAUUCCAUUUUAAAAGAAUUUAAUAUUGCCCUAGCAAGAGCAGGAUUUUCUUUGCAAGAGGCUGAAUUGACUUACAGAAAUGUGGUGAGUUGCUGCCUUCUUGGCUGGAUAGAUGGAAAGAUGACGAUGUUCUCAUUUUUGUUAUGUGAACUUUACUGAAACUAUAUUUUCAUAGAAAGAAUAAAAGCCCAGAACUAAAUGUUGGUCAAGUGACUUGCCUGAGUCCAGGGGAAUGUUCUGGAGGGGAGGAAAAAUAACGUUCCCUCUACCCUUCCGAGUUCUUGGUUAAGACCCCUGUAAUAAAAGACAAACAAGAGACAAACAGAAGUUCAUUAUAUGUAUACCGCACGUACACGUGGGCAAUACCCAGGGAGAAUGAAUAACUACCCAGGUGGCUUGGCUUAGAAACCAGACUUAAAUACCAUCUUAUAGGGAAAGAGAAGGGGGAUGUAGGUCACUGGGGGAGAGUCAAUGAAUUUUCGAAAAGGUGAAUCUUAGAAGAAUAGAUGGGAAAUGUGACAGUGUGUGACAAAAUGUUUCUGGGUGUGGUGUCCACUUCUAGUCUCCUCUCCUGUGAAAAGAGUUGUAUCUUCCCUGGCUGAUGAAACCCUUGGGGAGGGGAAUUUAUGACCGAGUUCCUUAUGGAGGAGCUGUCAUUAGGCAGAUAGGGGCGUACAGACAAAGCCUCGCCUGGCAUUUGCCAUUUUCUAUGUGCCUACAGCUCAAAAUAAACAAUAUAUCAAAGCAGCAUAUCUGGGGGGAGGCAGGUCCUGAACUCCUACAGUCAUAUUUUGGGGUAGCCUGUUCUACUAUCCUUUAGUUCUGAGACUGUUAGUAAAGAAGAAUGUUUCCUAGUAAGUGGACAGAAAGGAACUAUUAGGGCCUCGCUACAUGCCAGAAAGUAAUUUGAAAAGUGGGACCACAGUGGGUAGAAUUGUGUCCCCAAAAGAUAUGUUGAGGUCCUAACCCCAAACCCAUAAUUGUAGCAUUUGGAAAGAGGGUCUUUGCAGAUGGAAUCAAGCUAAAAUGAAUUUAUACUGGAUUGGAGUAAAGCCUAAUCUGAUGGCUGGUGUCCUUAUAAGAAGAUGGAAGGCAGGUACCAGAAAGAUACCAUGUGACAAUUGUGGCAGAGACUGGAAUGAUGCAGCCGCAAGCCAAGGGAUGCCAAGGACCGGGGGCAACCACAGAAGCUAGGAGGGAGGCAUGAGUUUGCUCCAUCAGAGCCCCCAGGAAGAACCAACCCUGCCAACACCUAGAUUUUGAACUUCUGGCUCUAGAAUUGUGAGAGAAUAAACUUUUCUUUUAAG